AUUGAACGCUGGCGGAAUGCUUUACACAUGCAGGUCGAACGGCAGCACGGACUUCGGUCUGGUGGCGAGUGGCGAACGGGUGAGUAAUGUAUCGGAACGUGCCCAGUCGUGGGGGAUAACGUAGUGAAAAUUACGCUAAUACCGCAUACGAUCUAUGGAUGAAGGCGGGGGAUCACAAGACCUCGCGCGAUUGGAGCGGCCGAUAUCGGAUUAGGUAGUUGGUGGGGUAAAGGCCCACCAAGCCAACGAUCUGUAGCUGGUCUGAGAGGACGACCAGCCACACUGGAACUGAGACACGGUCCAGACUCCUACGGGAGGCAGCAGUGGGGAAUUUUGGACAAUGGGCGAAAGCCUGAUCCAGCCAUUCCGCGUGCAGGAUGAAGGCCCUCGGGUUGUAAACUGCUUUUGUACAGAACGAAAAGGUUUCUACUAAUACUAGGAGCUCAUGACGGUACUGUAAGAAUAAGCACCGGCUAACUACGUGCCAGCCGCCGCAGUAA
Molecule: ribosomal RNA, 500 nt
Filed under: uncultured bacterium
Lineage: Bacteria
Description: partial 16S ribosomal RNA
Rfam family: Bacterial small subunit ribosomal RNA
Source: RNAcentral